GGCUGCAUUCAUCCAUCUCGUGCUUAUCGCCUACCCCAACUCCGACUCCUGCUCGUCGCUCGCCGCUCGCCGCCACGUCCAGCUCUCUCCGCCCCUCCGGACUAGCCUAGCCCCUCCCGCUCACCGUGUCGUCUCCAGAAUCUGGCCUACGACCGUUGACGGCUGGUGCCCCCUCUGGCAAUCGGUGGUCGUGGUCUGUCCUUGCUCACCCCAUCCAGAUCCGCUAUGCGCGAGCCUCCCCUUUCCUAAUCACGCGCCCCCUGCCCCAGCGAUCCACAGCUGCCGCCCCCUGUAUCGCCGAUCCGUGGCUGCCGCCUCCUCCUUCCCAUAAUCACACCCUCCGGUCCCGUCGAUCCGUAGUUGUCGCCUCCCCCCAUCCCCUAAUCACGCGCGUCUCGCUCCCGCCGAUCCGCGGAUCGGCUCUGCUCCAACCCUCCUCCGCCCCUGAGAUGCAGCGAGCAUCACGGGGGAUUUCUCCCUUGAGGUGUUGCCUGAGAGGUGCUGCUGACCGAGUAGCAUCAUUGAAGAGUUACUAUCGAGCACUUGGAUUAUGUGAUCGAUGUGCAGAGAAGUGGUUCCAAGGGAACAAGUGUGCCAACACGGUGCAACUUCACGCCAUUGAGGAAGUCUAGGAUUUGCUCACCUUGGAUGAAGCUACAGUGGAAGUCAUUGAACCAACAGAGGAACUGAUGAUGGUUGUAUCCCUGUCUAAUGCGGCAUGGUUCGGAUCUGACAUGAUAUCAACCACGAGAUUACAGGGUCAGAUUCAACAACAUAAUCUCUUAGUUCUUAUUGAUUCAGGGUCUUCACAUACUUUCCUCAAUGACAUUCGUCGACCACUAUUGUUUGGAGUCCAAGAAUUGACAACACCAAUUACAGUUUAGGUUGCUAAUGGCCAAGUUAUUACCUGCUCACACCACCUUCCAGCAGCUCAAUGGACCAUCAGUAUAGCCCGACGAGAGUGGAUUGGACAAACAAGCGGAUGGUUAUUUCUUAUCAGGAAAAUACUAUCUACCUUACUAGUGGGAAUGGUGGUGGAAUUAUUGUUACUAUCUGAAACAUCAUUAUCCACAUCUGACUCUAGCAUAGCAGCUGUUGCAGUGGAUUCCAGAGUGCAAGCUCUACUCGACAGUUAUCCUAGCAUUUUCAUCGAUCCAGUGGGACUCCCACCAACCCGCCCGUGUGAUCAUUCAAUUUCAUUGAUCCCCGGUGCCCAGCCGUUCCACAUAAGGCCAUACCGUUACCCUCCAACCCUCAAAGAUGAAAUUGAAACUCAAGUUAAGGAAAUGCUAUCCAGGGGGUGAUACGAAAGAGUAGCGGCCCCUUUGAAUCUCCAAUUCUCUUGGUCAAAAAGAAAGACCACUCAUGGAGAUUCUGUGUAGAUUACCGUUAUUUGAAUGCCACGACGGUGAAGAGUAAAUACCCUGUGCUGAUAUUCGAUCAGUUCUUUGUGCUCAGGCACUAGGCAUGUAGAGGUAUUUUUUGUUGUUAUUUUCUCUUUAUGUGGAUGUGGUUACAAGGCUGUUGACAAAAUAUUACUACUCCAUUGUCCUCCCUCUCACCCAUAAGGUAUUUGAUAUAUUACUUUGUCCAGUCGAUGCAGCUUACAAGGCUGUUGACAAAAUAAUCCAGGUUUGUUGGCACACUUUUAAUCUUUCUUGUACGGGUACACUACUUCUAACAAUGGAAUAUGAAUGUUGUUUUUUGCGCAAAAGUUGCCUGGCUUUUAGCAUCGUUUGAUGGGUGAGGACACACAUCGCCUCCAAAUACUAGAACGCUAGGGAUAUUUGUUCUCUCAAAUAAAGCUUUACCUGUUAUAUUAUAUAAUACUUCCGUAAGAAGAGCUGUUAGUGGCUGGAGUGAAUAGAAUUUGGUUGGUCGGUGCCUCCAAGUUGUUUGGUCUACCGUUCAAAUGCCUUAUUAUUCUGCGAGUUGUUUUAAGACUAGGCCUCAAUUUUUUUCCAGGCAGAAAGUGCUACUGCCUCUCUCAACUAUAGCGGUGUGGUACUGGGAUCCUUGCCAAUAAGGGUGAGCCCGUCCAUGACGCCAGUGCGUCCCCGUGCCCCUCGCCAGCUGAUGUCGUCCUAGGCUCUGAAGCCAUCUUCUGGACCUCACAAGUCCAGGGAGUGCAUGCCUCUGAUCCUCAUCAUCAGGAACAUGCUCAAGUAUGCACUGACGUACCGUGAGGUCAUUUCUAUCCUGAUGCAACGCCAUGUACUUGUUGAUGGCAAGGUCAGGACUGACAAGACCUACCCUGCUGGGUUCAUGGGUAUGCCGAUAUCUCUAUUAAUGCAUAAAGAUACCUAUACACAUAUCUUGGUAGCUGUGUGAGGUUGCUGUUUUUCGUUAGUAGAUCUAUGUACCUUAUCCUUGCUAUACUGUCCAUAUAUGUUGUGUGCAUGAAAGUCUUGCAUUGAAAAUGUCAUGUGCUACAAUCGUUAGGACUAUUAAUAGAUGUUGCUCUUUCUAUCUAUCCAUUUACAUCGCUGGAAAUUCCCAUGCCCUUUCAUAGUACGCCUGUGAAAUGCUCACUGCUUUUCUAUAGGUUUGUGUGUAGUUCAAGCUCUACAAGGUGAGGUUUGUUCAGUUUGGCCAGAAAGGCAUCCCCUACCUGAACACCUAUUUGUUGUACAGGAAAACAUAGAAUGGAAUUCAAAUUUGGUGGCCGCAAAAGUGUGGAGACUUGAAUUCAUAUAAAGUUAGGCUUAAUAUUAGUGCAAACAGUUGUAUUUUAGUUUAGAUUUAGAGUACACUUAUGUAUGCCUUGUUUGAUAAUGCU
This is an RNA transcript of Zea mays, 2779 nucleotides long. RefSeq lists it as uncharacterized. The record is from RefSeq and is marked validated. The transcript is spliced from 4 exons. NCBI's taxonomy places the organism in Eukaryota, Viridiplantae, Streptophyta, Magnoliopsida, Poales, Poaceae.